RNAcentral lists this long non-coding RNA (1902 nucleotides) under Homo sapiens (human). Its description in RNAcentral is "HSALNT0249525". The record is from RNAcentral. Lineage: Eukaryota; Metazoa; Chordata; Mammalia; Primates; Hominidae.
AAACAUUAGGGAAGAAAGAUGGCUUGACUUUGUGGAAGAGACAGCCAGACUUUGGGGAGAAGAAAAGAAGACAGCUUGACUUUGGGGAAGACUACCUGCCCUUCAUGUCCCCUCUCCAGCUCCUCUCUCUGCUGAGAACCAUUUUCACUACUCAAUGAUGUCCUCCGCCUUUACCAUCCUUCCAGUGUCUGUGUGACCUCAUUCUUCUAGGACAACAGACAAGAGCUCGGGACCCACCAAGUGCAGAUUGUCAGUACAGACCCUCCAAGAAGCACCAAGGCAGAAGACAGAAAGGUAGGAUACAAAAUUCAGAAAAUUAAUGGAGGAAAUGCCUAUGAAGAAUAAAGGAGAGGGAACAUAAGACACACAGUGUCUUCAAAAUGCAAUGCAAAUCUCACACUUGUGAAAGGAGAGGAAAAGGAGAGAGAAGAAUCUUGGACUACAAAUAAGUUUUAAGAAAGGUUUAAAUAGACCAAUAUCAGAUCGUUAAGCUAAAGUCACCCAGGAGGACUGUGGACUAUUUGAACGGACUCACACUAAUAACUCCAUUGUGUUCAGUCAUUGAUUAGAACAGCCUGCGGGAAGAUUGGCCUAAGCAUGAACACAGUAAUAGAUCAGAUACAGCUGAGGCCAUCAGUGAACAAUGUUCCCAGCUGUGGGAAAUGUGAGCAGCUCAUUUCCAUGACUGCCUCAUUAGUAAUUCUGAAAACCAGAUUUCCUCUAUGACUUUUAAUUAGAGGUAAACCAGACCUCACCAAGCCAUAAAACUUUAUUUCUAUGCAGAAUGCUUUCAUCCAUUUCUAAAGCAAAGAUGCUUACCUGGUAUUCAUUAUAUAGUUGGAUCAUUAUAUAGUUGGAUUUUUUUAACUUGCAGUAACUCAACUAUUGUUCUUCAAUCAGUCUUACUGCUAAAUUCAAUAGAAGAAAACUGAAACUGGAUCCCUUCCUUACAGCUUAUACAAAAAUCAAUUCAAGAUGGUUUAAAGACUUAAAUGUAAGACCUAAAACCAUAAAAACCCUAGAAGAAAACCUAGGCAGUGUCAUUUGGGACAUGGGCAUGGGCAAAUACUUCAUGACUAAAACAACAAAAGCAGUGGCAACAAAAGCCAAAACUGACAAAUGGGACAAUGUUCCAUUUGUCAAUUUUGACAAAUGUUUGACAAAUGUUCUUUUGCACAGCAAAAUAAACUAUCAUCAGAGUGAACCGGCAACCUACAGAAAGGGAGAAAAUUUUUGCAAUGUAUCCACUUGACAAAGGGCUAAUAUUCAGAAUCUAGAAAGAACUUAGAUAAAUUUACAAGAAAAAAACAACCCCAUUAAAAAGUGGGCAAAGAAUAUGAACAGACACUUUUCAAAAGAAGACAUUUAUACAGCCAACAAGCAUAUGAAUAAAAGCUCAUGAUCACUGCUUAUUAGAGAAAUGCAAAUCAAAACCACAAUGAGAUACCAUCUCACACCAGUUAGAAUGGAGGCCAUUAAAAAGUCAGGAAACAACAGAUGCUGGAGAGGAUGUGGAGAAAUAGGAACACUUAUACACUGUUGAUGGGAGUGUAAAUUAGUUCAACCAUUGUGGAAGACAGCAUGGUGAUUCCUCAAGGAUCUAGAACCAGAAAUACCAUUUGACCCAACAAUCCCAUAACUGGGUAUAUACCCAAAGGAUUAUAAAUCAUUCUACUGUAAAGACACAUGCACAUGUAUGUUUAUUGCAACACUGUUCACAAUAGAAAAGACUUGGAACCAACCCAAAUGCCCAUCAAUAAUAGAUUGGAUAAAGAAAAUGUGGCACAUAUACACCAUGGAAUACUAUGCAGCCAUAAAAAAGGAUGGGUUCAUGUCCUUUGCAGGGCCACGGAUGAAGCUGGAAACCAUCAUUCUCAGCAAAACAACACAGAAACAGAAAAG